AUUGAACGCUAGCGGGAUGCUUUACACAUGCAAGUCGAACGAGUGGCGGACGGGUGAGUAAUAUAUCGGAACGUGCCCAGUAGCGGGGGAUAACUACUCGAAAGAGUGACUAAUACAGCAUCAUAGUGGUGCGGCCGAUAUCGGAUUAGCUAGUGGGUGGGGGAAAGGCCCACCAAGGCAACGAUCCGUAGCUGGUUUGAGAGGACGACCAGCCACACUAGGACUGAGACACGGCCCAGACUCCUACGGGAGGCAGCAGUGGGGAAUUUUGGACAAUGGGGGAAACCCUGAUCCAGCCAUCCCGCGUGUAUGAGAAGGCCUUCGGGUUGUAAAGUACUUUUGGCAGAGAAGCGGUAUCGGCAGAAUAAGCACCGGCUAACUACGUGCCAGCAGCCGCGGUAAUUC
This 405-nucleotide ribosomal RNA is filed under the name uncultured bacterium. RNAcentral's name for it is "partial 16S ribosomal RNA". It matches the Rfam family "Bacterial small subunit ribosomal RNA", at positions 30 to 526 of the family's 1533-position model. The record is from RNAcentral.